GGUGAAGAAGGCCUUCGGGUUGUAAAGCCCUUUUGUUGGGAAAGAAAUCCAGCCGGCUAAUACCUGGUUGGGAUGACGGUACCCAAAGAAUAAGCACCGGCUAACUUCGUGCCAGCAGCCGCGGUAAUACGAAGGGUGCAAGCGUUACUCGGAAUUACUGGGCGUAAAGCGUGCGUAGGUGGUCGUUUAAGUCCGUUGUGAAAGCCCUGGGCUCAACCUGGGAACUGCAGUGGAUACUGGGCGACUAGAGUGUGGUAGAGGGUAGCGGAAUUCCUGGUGUAGCAGUGAAAUGCGUAGAGAUCAGGAGGAACAUCCAUGGCGAAGGCAGCUACCUGGACCAACACUGACACUGAGGCACGAAAGCGUGGGGAGCAAACAGGAUUAGAUACCCUGGUAGUCCACGCCCUAAACGAUGCGAACUGGAUGUUGGGUGCAAUUUGGCACGCAGUAUCGAAGCUAACGCGUUAAGUUCGCCGCCUGGGGAGUACGGUCGCAAGACUGAAACUCA
RNAcentral lists this ribosomal RNA (508 nucleotides) under uncultured Stenotrophomonas sp. RNAcentral's name for it is "bacterial SSU rRNA". It matches the Rfam family "Bacterial small subunit ribosomal RNA", at positions 404 to 903 of the family's 1533-position model. The record is from RNAcentral. Lineage: Bacteria; Pseudomonadati; Pseudomonadota; Gammaproteobacteria; Lysobacterales; Lysobacteraceae.